Molecule: unclassified non-coding RNA, 240 nt
Filed under: uncultured fungus
Lineage: Eukaryota; Fungi
Description: sequence contains ITS1
Source: RNAcentral
UUAAGUUGUCAUUCGACUUUUAGUUCAGACUGCAAUCAAGCUUCUUUCCGCAGAGUAGUUUCGCUGGAGCUGCCGGCAGACUGACCCAUCCCGCCGCCGGAGCGGAAGGAGGAGCUGCCGAAGCAACCGGGGCGUUUCACAAGGGGUUUCACGCUGACCGCGGGACGAGCCGCGCGGCAGGUGCGGGAGCAGGGCUCCCGGUAUUUGGUAAUGAUCCUUCCGCAGGUUCACCUACGGAAA